Long non-coding RNA from Cygnus olor (mute swan), 14781 nucleotides. RefSeq lists it as uncharacterized. Lineage: Eukaryota; Metazoa; Chordata; Aves; Anseriformes; Anatidae. The transcript is spliced from 5 exons. The record is from RefSeq and is a predicted model, not a curated record.
CUCUGCUAGAGAUAACAAUUUCUGUGCGUGGCUGUAAUGAGGGAAAGAGCAAAAACCCAGCAGGCAGGGCUAGAGUUCUAGCAGAGAUGGAGUUUGCAAAAUGGAAUUACCACUUUUUAUGGCAAUAUCAGGAUGUCUUUCAUUCUUGCCUCAGCUGUUUUCUCCUCGUCUCGCUGCACUGACCAUUCAGCUUGACAUCAGGCCAGCUGCUCCAGCCGCUUCUGAACUGGUGAAUACAUGCUUGGGCUUUUGCCUGUAUCCUUAUGUCAUCUUUCACUGAUACAGGAAUUUUGCUUCUGCACAACAUAGCUCCAGUUUCCCAGUCUGAAAAAUAGACUUUCUGGAUGCUUCCAGGUAACUUUUUCCCUGUUCUGUCAUCCCAUGUGGUAACUAAAAUGCCCUUUCCUUUGUGAGUGGGGCAGAAACUGUUCUUAGUCUGCUGCAUAAGACGAUGUCAGGAAAGGAAGUGUGGGAUAAUUAUAGAAGCUACAAGGAUGUAUUGUUUUUGUUGUUUUUUUUUUUUUUUGUCUGGAUUUUUUUUCUUAAGAUGGGCUGAAGUUAGCAGCAGAAUUGACACUGGACGUGAAUGUGCAUGUUGAUGUUUAUCACUCAGAAGGGCUUAAAGAGCUUUUAAGCUGAAAGAACUUAAACGUGUUUUUCUGAGAUCAUGUGUAGUGAGCAGCAUUCACUUUCUGCGCAUGGGUGUCACAUGCUGUCCUCUCUCAGGGACCUUGUGCUGUCUUUCAUUCUGAAUAGGGCAUUUCUAUUUCCCGGGCCCUAAUCUCAUGACAUCCAGAUGAAAACCAACAGUCUACAGAAUGCCUUUCUGUAUAGGCAACCAGCUAAUGGCACACAGAUUGUCUGGUGUGCCAGAGGAAACUCACUUCACUGGUCUUCUAGCACAUUGGGAAGCUCACCAGCACUAGUGCUUCAGUGGUGGUCGUCCCUCCUGACAUCCAGCAACUUUGUCUUCACAAAAUCAGACUGGACGGAGCCGUAGGCUGUCUGUUGUGCCUCGGUAGGAAAACAAGCAGGUGGUGAGGUUUUCAUUUAGCCCCCCAACCACUGAGGUCCUUGUGCUGAAGCAAGAGAGACAAUCUGCAGCUUCCACGUGCAUAAUCAAUCAAUAUCUUCUCCACAAAUGAGGCUCCUUGUGCCAUGUGAAUGUAGGGGUGGCUGGAAAGAGAGGGGAACAACAGGCUCCCAGUGCUCCGGUUGGAGACCUGUAACGUGCCCUGUGUGUGGGAGGAAACAUGGUCCCCUGGAGGGGCAGAAUGGGGCAAUAAAGAAUAGGGUUACAGCUGUGGCUUUGCUAAUCAGGGUUUCCUUAAAGAAACCAAGGAGUUGGAUUUCCUUACUAAUUUCAGCUUGGUAACUAAUUUCUAGAAAACAACAUAGCUGAGUGUCAUAGGCUGACAAAAGAAGGAAGUGAGAUGUUUCCCACAGCUGACUUAGAAGGGGGUGUUAAGCAGGUCACUUCUUGGUAGGUGAGGCAUUUCUCAGACAGGUUGCCUGUUCUGGCAGUGAUAGGUUAACAAACCGCUAGCAAAGUAGUUAGUGUAGUAUUUCAGUAGCUAAACACGCCAUGAGAGAGUGAAGGAUUACUGUUUGAUUUCACCCACUCCUAAAGCGUUUCUAAUUUCACUUCCUUUCCUUCUGAUUGUGUGCUUCCCUUUGGUCGGGCUUCCUUGCUCCCAGUCCUGGUCCCAUCUGUUCCUUACUCAUCUCUCUUUUGUUCUUUGUAAGUGAUUUUUCCCAAUGAAUGCUAUCUUCUGUUUAUCUAGACGUGCUCUCCAUUCAACUCGUCCCAUUCUCUCUCUGAUAGCCGACUAUUUGCAGUAGUCCUGUGUGAAGCUGUUGCCCUCUCCUGGGGUCUCAGUAGCCAUGUGGUGAAAACUCUGCCAAUUCUUGUCCUUCUUUCCAAACAAGAAGUCAGCCUUCCUAGGAGAGGAAAACAGCCUGGAUGCCGUCACACAGACUGGGGAAAAUGGAGGUGACCGUCUGUCAGCCAGCAGCCAGAGCUCCACAGAGACCAGAUCCUUCUUGGCACGCUGGGUAUGCAUUGUCCAGCACUUAGGUCACCCAUUCACAUAUCCUCUCCCCCUUAGUUGCCUGAAUUUGGGCUUUUGGACACACAGAAAGAGAAAAUGUGCAACUCUGGGCCCUACAGAGCAGCGUGCUCUGCGUUUCACAGUGGAGAAAAAGGGAAGCAUGCACUCUUUGCUCUUGUGCUAGUGUUAAGCUUGAUUUAUAUUAAGCAGCUGGGGAUUUCUGCUGAUUGUUUACAUAGAGGUGGCAGACACUGGCACAGUUCUGCCUUCCUUGUUGGCAGAACAACCUGGGAUAAGAAGAUGAAAGGGAGGUGUGAGGAGAGAUACGUGAAGCAUUUUCUGGCAGAACUGAAUUCAAAGCUAAAUGAAGGAUGUCCACAAAUUAACGUUAAUUGAGGAUCUUCAGUUCUGGAUCUAGACUCAAUGCAUCGAACUCAGACCCAACAUAUAGAUCAGGAAAAAAGUUCCCAGGGCCUUCUCUGCUAGUGAAAGAUGCUGCAGUGCUAAUUCUGAUACCAGGUGUCCUCUUGCCAACAGACCAAUGCUACAAAACUCUUCAGAAGAGGAAAAAAUGAAGCCACCUGAAAUGGUUAAAAUCUUUCCCUGUGAAUUUAUCAGCUUGUACAGCUCAGUGGAAAUCUGCACUUCAGCAAGCGCUGCACCACUGGGAGAUUUUUGCAAAGAAAUGUGAUGUCCUCAGGAUUUCAGGGGCUUAGAGCUCUGAAGCCCCUCCAAGAAAGAAGAUACACUACCCUGGAAGAUGAGAACCUUGCGUGGGCACUGAAAGCUGUUUCUACUCAACCUUUGUUUCAUCGAGGAAAGUAGGUGUCUAAAAUCAAAGCACAUGUUGCUUCCCAUUGCGUGCUUACAUGUGAGACUACUUAAAGUCUGUUGCCAGACAGGCAGAGAAGAAGAAGCCGGUAGAUCACUGGGUUUUUCAGCCCCUGAGCGAGAUAACCAACCACUGUGUGCAACUGUGAGGUCCCCGGCUGGGGAGCUGAUAGUGAUACUGUAACCACAAAUUACGUAAGGUGAGCUUUUGCCUCUUACUCUCCUACUGUGUCAGAGGCUGCCACUGUAGUUAGCUUUUAAAUGCAAAUUUCUUGAGAAAAUAGGGGUCUACUGAAGUUACUGCUUCCAGAAAACCACAGUUGUCAAUGACUAGGGCAUGGACAAAGGGAGUAGUUAUUUAUUUUUUAUUUUAUUAAAUCUAAAUGAGACGGCAUUUCCAAAAAAAUCUGGGUCUCUCUGCAGAAUUUGUGAAAAUACAGCAAAGUGAGCAAAGUGAGGCUAAAUCCCUAAUAUGAUCUUUAGGUAGUAUAUUUCUGAGUAUUAACAGCUUGAAAAAGGGGAAAAAAUAGCAGAAGCCACCUCUGCUUCACCAUCCUUCCCAUAAUCCAGAAAUAGUAGAAAGUAGGUGAAUUUCUCAGUACACACAAAGUCAACAAACACAUCUCUCUUACCAAGGUAGAAAUUGUUUUAGAAUAGGUUACUUGAGAAAAAGCAAACGUAAUAGAUUAAACCUCUGAGACUGCACCCAGAAAUCUGAGUAGUGACUUUAUGAAUUAUCUUGGGCCCUGUUUGAAGAAUAGCUGUCUGUAAAACUUAUACAUCUACUCACCAUCUAGUGCCAGGUGAAGUAACUCCAUAGAUUCUGGUCAUGCUGAGUCCCUUUGUGUUAGGUAGAGAUCUGGUUCUUUGUGAACAGAAAGUGAACAGUGCUGAGACCUGAUGAAAUGUGGUCACGGUUGCAGGUCUCAGUCACCAGAUACAUGUUGGUGCAUCUGGCUAUGUGUAGAAAUGCUAUGUACGCAGUAGGUGUGUCUUCCUACUGAUACUGCCCCAGCGGGGGGGGGGGGGGGGGUAAGUAGUCUACAGAAAAUAUCAUUAGCCACAAUUUCAGAUGGAAAGACAUAGAUAGAUGGCUGUUUAAGAGGGCUUUAUUAGGCAAGGCAGCUUGAUUUUUAGGAAGUGUUGGGUGUCAGUGCACUCAACCGCAAUUUCUUGCUGGGAUAUGUGGGAGAGUUUAUUUGUUAGUUACUGUCAGUUUCAAACCACAGUAUCAUAAAGUUCCUUUUUGUAAUGUAUUUGUUGAAUGUGCCUGCCUCUGACUACUCUUCCCCCUUCCAAAGGUGCAGAGUGAAAGCUGAGCAUGUGAUUCACUAUCAGAGGGAAGGUUUUUGUCUCAGCGGUUGUGGUGGCUGAGCUGCAGCAAAUGGCACAGCACUCGUGUUGAGUGGAGUCCCAGAAACACUGCACGCAGAGACAUGUAGUAAAUAAUGCAUAUGAACUAGCUCAUCUAGAAAAUCUCAUCUUAAAAGAGAGUUUGUUUACCUGUGAAUAAAGGUCACUUGCAUGAAAACCUAGCUGCCAAGCUCUAGCUUAAGGCAGCGAAGUGUUACUCUUGAGUUGAUGCAAAAUGAUUACUCUCAGGUUCUCAGCUGGCUGACAUCUCAUGCCAAGUAUAUUCUAUACUCCAAACUUCAGUUGACCAAGCGUCUUCUCUCAACACAGACUAAAAUCAAUGACACAAAACAUGUAUAACUAUACAAGUUCGUUAUAACAUGAAGUCCUCUGUCUCACAGGGCCAAGAUUCAUAAUAGUUAAAAGGUCAGUCUCUUAAUGAUGUUUCCAAUAUUGAUUUUCCAUUUCUUUGUCUGUGUUACAGUAACUAUGGCAGCAGUAUUCUAUUUGUGGAUCCCUAGAGAUGUGUGUGUACAUUGGGAAGGGAGAAAGCGGAAUAGCACUUUGAAGCUGGUGUUCAGGCUAGGUAGUAAACUACAGUGGUUAGGAGUGUAAAGGACACAGUAAGAUCACUUGUGUGAAACUGAAAGGGUACGAGUGCAGUUGAUUCACACAGAUGACAUACCACUGGCCUGUGUGGAUGGAAACCAUCCAGCCUCUGGGCUUACUUGGUUCCUAGGCAUUUCAUUUUCAUUAGGUGAGCAGGAACUGCACGUAAGCAGGCCUGCCUCUGGUGUAGUUUUUUUUGUUGUUUUUGUUUUGUGUUUUUUUUUUUUUAAUACUAGUCACCACUUAAAACUCACUCAAAAAUGAGAGUUCUUCACCACAAAUCUUUGCCUGUACUGAGGGACAUGCAGUUGCUUACAUCUCAAGCUCUGCAGAAAACUCUGCUGUCCGCUAGGUGCUGGUGGUCCUCCUUAGCGAUCCUGUUCUGCGCACCCCUUCAGAUACGCUUUUCCUGCUCUGUUUUCCCCUGAGAUCUGCUCCUGUCUCUCAUCCCUGGCCACUGUCUGUGGUUCCUAUUUGCCUGGGCUGGUGUUUGUUGAUCUGAAACAGGGUAGGGAAACAGAUCUGUGGAGGCCACAGGAUGGGGAACCCACUGUAGGGAGCAGGCUGGGGAACAGGCCAGGCGUGGAAAUGGAUGCUUGCCUCUCCCGUCAGCCUGCUUGUGCACCCGGCCUGGUGGUGUGGCCUGGUGCCAGGACUCAGCCCUGCGCUUGUGUGCCCUGUUUCCCCUGAAGAUAUGGUUUACAGGGAGACCUAGGGAACGUAGAGGUGGAUUUUGGGAAGAUCCCAGAUGCAAGAUUAUGCCUUUUACACAGAGAUGCAAACUUCAUUUUUCAAGUAGUUUUAGCUGUAGCACUUCCUUCUGCACACUCCUCACUGCUUGUGCACCUUAUUAUACAAAAUGGGGGGCAGAAUAUUGUGGAGGUGUGGGGGAGAAAUAUUGCAAAACAGGUAAUUGGAGAAGCAAGGCUUGGCAAGCUGUCGCUUGAUCUAGCAGUAUGGCAAAGCUUGUUGUUUGCCAGAAGCAGUCCCAUCUGAUAGAUCUUUGGAGCCCAAGAGUAGGCAAAUGAAUAAACCUCACACUGUUUUAUACAUAUAUAUAUAUAUAUAUUUUUUUUUUUUUUCUUCGAAGCAAGAUUCUUUGAGGGAAUAACUGGAGAAAGUGAAACUAGAAGGGUUGGUGUGUUUUACAGUCUAAGAACCCCUUUGUUCCAUCUAAGCUUGUAAGAGACUUACGUGCUGUGUGGCCUUGCUCGGGAGGGAGUAACCAGGCAGUGCAGCUGCAUGUUCCUCCCCUGCAGGAAAAGGUCACUGGAUCAUGAUGAAGAGCAGUAACAUGCACUUACAGUCCUUCAGCUCCACAGACAUCGCUAUCUUCCUUCCAUGCCUGUGUGUGGGUGUAACAGAGCAGCGCAGCUUUGUGUUCUUUGGGCUUCCUGUGUGACUAUACCUGCACCGUGUAUUUGGUGCAAAAAUAGAAAAGGGAAGUCAAGAAGUAGAAAAUUAUGUAGUAUAGGCUGGAGGCCCUUGGACUAUGUCUUAGGGAGGCUGCACAGGUGCUGUACAUCCCCCACAGAAUGUAUCCCAUUCCUGUUUGCUUUCUUCAACGGGUUAUAGUGAUCAUGUGGAUGAUUUAACAUGGGUAUUGGCUCCUUUCAGUCACACACCGAGCACAUGCAACAAGUUGUGAGACUGCACCACUUCCACUGCUGUCCUGCCCCUUCAGUAGGAUGCUACUCCGGAAAAUUCGAAGGCCAUCCACUGAGCCUUAACACAACUGAUGCUAGGUGUAAUGUCUCAAAUGCAACCAUCGUGUUACUGAGACGUGCACUAGGUGAUUAAGAUGAACAUGAAAAUUCUUGACUGAAAUGGUACACAGUCCUUCUGUCUACUGGCUAGGUUAAUUGCGUGGGUGGAAAUAACAAUUUUUAAAUUUCGUUUAAAAGACUGAAAACUGAAUGAUUCUGUAUUUGACCUGAAUUAAUUAUUUGCACCUUAAAUGGUAGAUGGUUUAAGUCAGCACCUCUUGCUUCCCUCCAUCAAAAGACAGACUCUCGAUGUAUUUGCUUAAAAAAAAGAACCUACCACAGACUCCUGUGCUUUGCUUUUCUAUGCUAGCACGUUUGAUGGUAAGGUGGUGAGGUGCUUCCUGUUUAUCUACAAAAAUCUCAUCUCCCAAAUCAAACCUGGUUCUCUGGGGACCUCUUCUUAAGCCAAGCCUUGCUCUAAGGGUAAAAUGUGUCACAUUCAGAUCUCAUUAGCAUUGCAGCUGGGGGUUGUGCAGUAAUUCUCAUGCAUGCGCUCAGUCUCAUUGUAGCUGUUGGUCAACAGGGCGUCAUCCUGGGGCUGCUCUGAGCAGAGCUGCUGAUGCUUUUGGCUGGCUGGGGUGACAGAGGGAAAGCUGUGUGUGCCCAGAUGAAUGCACCUCAGAGCUGGCUGGGAAGUCACACAGAUAACCUGCCUGUAACCCAGCACCCCCUCACCUCUCAGAGGGACGUUGGACUCUUCUAUGUACUGUGGUAUGGGCAGAGUAUUUGUAUUGCAGAACAUCCGUGAGAAACAUAUGGUUUCACUUUUACUUGUUUCUGGAAGGAUGGCCUUUUCCCCUUCUGCCUGCAAGGCCAGUGUCCAGGUCACAGAAAGAAAUUAGAGAAGUUUGAUGCCUUUUGCUGAGGCUUUCUCUUCACUGAAUGGCUGUCCUUGUUUUUCAGUUUAACACCACUGAGGUAGAAGCUCUUUCAGAGAAACAGUUUCUUUGUAUUCUGAAAUCUAUAAAAAUAUUUUUACCUCUAUCAGCUGAGCAAUAGAUGCAAUUAAUUGUCUAUUUUAUACCUAACCUGCUUCAAGUUUCCCAGUCUCUCACUUAAAAUAAUUAGUCUCUAGCCAUAUAAGAACUGGCCCACUAAAACAAACACAGCAAAAUUAAUUUUUCUAGGAGAUAAUUUUCCACUUUUUUUCUUUUUUCAAAUGAGGAUUAUCCGUGAUUUAUUGGAUUGAUAAAUUAUAUAUUUAAAAAAAAAUAAGUCAACAUACCUCAUGGCCUGAACUAAUUACCAGUGCAGAAAUCCAUAGAUUUUUCUCCACACUGAUACCAUAAUUGGGUUUGGAGGAGAUGGAAAAGGGUGGAGUACAAGUGAGCCAUAAGCAUAAUAAACCAUCUAAAUUAUCCAUAUACCAGGGUUAAUGUGUAUCUGGUAACAGCUUUGGUGUUAGCUGGAACUGUACCAAAGUAAAAUAUGAAGACAGAGGAGCCUGACUUUCUUCCACUAAGUUGAGCACAAAUCAUCUGGUGUGUUAUGUGCACCCUGAGGACUGGUAUAUCCUUCCUUUUCAACUGCGGUCUGAAUUUUUAACCAAUUUGAAGACUGCCCAUUUGCUUCUGUAAACCUCUUGGUGCAAACGUUGCUAAGGGUAAUUUUUCAGAGCAUUAUUUUGCAGGAACAGAUCUGUGGUAUCCAAGCUCUAGCUGCACAGUGCUGCAAAAGAAGGGUGUGAGCAUCCUUCUCAAACUUCAAAUGGUGCUUUGGUCUUUAUAUCCUUUUUAUCUUCUUUCCCACGAACCUGAGCAUGAAAUAUAAUGAUAUUCUUCUGCCAGUGUUGGGAGGCAAGCUUAGUGUGACACAGUUGCACACAGCUACUAGUGAACAAAAGUUUUUGAUUUUGAUUGUGGUCGGUCGCUGCUUGUCAUUUAUUUCAUUUUAUUUAUUCAUCAUGGACAAAAGCAAUAUGCAUUAACUUAACUAACCAAUCAUCGCACCAAUAGCAAAAAAGAGAACACUGUAUUUUGACAUUUUGUCACACAUCGUGUGACUUCUUUGUAAAAGGAAAACAACCUUUUCCUCCUCCUGUUCCCCACGAGAAACAAACGAGUGUUAACAAGAUUUUUGUUAAUAUGAGGAUUAGACAUUCAUGGUGUUCAGAGAAUUUUUCAAGGAGACAAACUGGAAUGAAAAACAGAAUCCUUGGAAGGAUUAUCUUAGAAACUCAGAAAAAAAAAAUGUCCCACACACAUUCUUAGCGUUUACUUGGGAGGAAUUAAUCUGUCUUAGUAUUGUCAUCCUCAUGGAUUCAUUUUACAUGUUUAUAUCCUAGGAAAAACCUCUCCUUCUCUUCUCCUUUGUCUAUAUUCAAACCACAACCAAAUCAAGGUCAAGCUAGAAGCAGAGUCCUGAACAAAGGAAGAAUGAGAAAGCUGACUGUUUCUUUUUAUUCCCCCCUUUAAGAGACAAAUACACAGUGGAAAUACCCACUCAUUCACAUGACAUGGACUAUAUUUUUAAUUCCGGUAUGUAGCGGGGAGCAUCCACAGGUUCUUCUAAACAAAAAGGAAGUUUUCCUGGGAGAUAAAGGAACAGCAUCCCAGAGGGAAGCUAGAUCUGAGACAGCAUGCAAAAUGGUAGUCUGGAGAAGUCCUUGUCAUAUUUAUUUAUUUACAUUAAUGGAGGCAUAUUCUGUAAAUUCAUUUUCUACAGACAGUUCCCUUCUCUGGCAUUUUUCUGCAGAAGCAGAAUGAUUUAGUGUAGCAUAUAUGAGGACAUCUGGGCUUUCAGGUGAAGCUGGGAAGGAAGGAUCAUUAGGUGCAUUAGGUGCUGUCCUCUUAGCAUUCCAGUGAGGAACAUCGUUGUCAUAAAUUGUGUUGGCAUGCAAGAGCUGCUGUGGACUAGCCAUGGAGUGGUAAAGCAAAGAGCUUUCAUCUGAAGCUUGAGUUGUCCCAGCAGUGUGGGAUGGAACAGCUGCUGGACUUCUGACCUGCAAAAAGCAGAACAGGGUACAGCUCUGUGCAUAUCUGGUUGUUGCUUGUGCUCCUGCUAAAUAGGGAGCAUAUAAGAUCUUAUUCAUUUUGCUGUGUCCCUUUAAAACUGCUUUUGAACUCAGGUGCAUUGGACUCAUCUGAUCAUCGGAUUUUCUGUUGAUCUUUGAAAUAAGUUAGCAACCACACAUUUAUCUCUAGCCUUUCUCCAUUUCCCUUCCCAAAUUCAGUCAUGUCUUUCCUUGCAUGAUUUCAACUUAAGGAAAAACUGAUUUAUCCUUGUGAGAGCACUUCUAUGCCACUCAUUCAGGCUUUUCCUUCCAGUCCUAUUAAAUCUUUUUUACUUUCACCUCCAAACCCCAAACUAUCUUAUCCCGAUUACACCCAUUCUCCCAUUUCCUAAUCUCUUGCCUCUUAUCCUCUGUCUUGUUAUUCUCCAGAUAAAUCUUUCUCCUUCUCCAAAAAUCUGCAAAUUCCUCCAUAAAUUCCUCUCUCUCUAAAGAAAUCCUCUUUGACAUCCAUUUUUCUAACCACUUAGAAUAUACUGCUUUUAAUUUUCUUUCUCCCACCUCUCCCUUUGGGAGCUCUGCAAUCUGUUUGGUGGCCUUUGAUUCCUGCCAAUACUUCCCUUGUGACUGCUAGCUAUCAGCUCCUGUGGCAUCUUUCAUGUUCUGCCUUCUGCCCAUUUAAUUUCACUAGAACUGAUUACAAGAGUGAGUUCAUGUUAACCACACAGGAAAGUCUUUUCAAUCAUUUUCCUUACUCUGUGUGUCAUUUGUCUUAUGCAGACAGUCAAAACCAGGUCAACAGAGGCACAUCAAUAGAUGUGCCUAAAUUCUUACUGGAAUGAUCUUACAAAUUAAUACAUUUUAAUAGGAGUUUAGAUGGCUAAAGUACUUUUCUGGCUAAGACUCUUAGUUCCUUUCUUCAGCGCAACCAAGGUGAUAUCUCACACCAGGGAAGUCAUUUUGUCCAUGCACCAAGAGGGUCACUAAAUCUGUCUCUGAUCCUACUCCACAUUUUAUAGUACACGAAGAUUUGUUCUCAAUAUAUGGUUAUGCAGUUUUAGGCUUCAGAAAUGGCAAAAUUUACACAUACCAGGCUCUCUAGUCUCUGUGGCGUUAAUGGAGUUCUCUUUUGCUUCGCUAGGAAGAAAAAAAAAAAAGAAAAAAAGAAGUUUCAAUAAAUGAGCAUUGAGAUGAUGCCCUUCUGCUCAUGGAGAGAGUAUUAACUAGUAAAGCAGUCCUUCCCUUGUUGAGUGCACCUCAAAGAAUAAAAAGUUAUUUCCAAACUGGAUUUAGGAAUUGCUGUUCUGAUAAAAGCAAAUCAACACAAAACAAUAUGUUUAUAGAAUGCAUUUCUGUGCUCCUCAGAGCUUCUCUGAAGAGGAAUAGAGAAAUUCCCAGUGUACUUCUGGCUAGUUUUCUCUCUAUUCAGUGAAAAGGCAUGGAAAAAUACCCAAACCACCUUAUAAGAAAACAUGCUAAAUUUUUUGGAAGAGGAAAUAAUUUCAUUUUCCUAAAAUAAAAUAAAAUAAUCUGUUGGAUUAUAAUAGGCAAAUAAUCACUUCAGUUAAAUUAAGAUAUGGGGAACUCCAAAAUCCACUCUUGAUUUAGAGCAUGGCAGCUGUGUAAGAGUUUCCGUACAACCGGAGAGAUUAAUACUGUAACAAGUUGAUACUUCAGAAAGAAAGGUAGAAAAGUAACUGGAUAGAACCUGAUUGCAUUUAUAUGGCUAAGAGUCCUAUUUAUUUCUAACUUGAUAAUCAAAAAACAGUAGAAAAAAAUCCAAUUAUUAUAAAGUCUGAGUAUUUGGUUUGUUCUUACUUUACUUCCAUUCCUGUCUCUCUGGAAGGGAACAAUACUUGGGACAAAUUAAUGUUUAAAAAAUUCAGUAUCCUAACUGGGGCACUUGACAAGGACAUCUCAGAAAUUAACUGGGGUAAUUACUAGGGGAUUUCAAUAGAGCUUUGAAUGAAACUUUAAACUGUGAAAAGGAGUGUAAUAAAAUACACACUAGGAAAAGAUUAUAUGGUAAAAUUCCUCACCAUGGUACCUUCUGAGACAGGAAAACAUGCAUAUAAAGAUGAAUGGACAACAUAGACCCACGGAUACUGAAGAAUAAAUAAUGUGCAAUAUCUUGUUUUUUCCAGGUUCCUGGGACUCUUCUGAGAUACUAGUGGUAUCUAAAAUUACAUUAACAUGUAUUAGCAUAAAAUAAUAUUUAACUUUUUUUUUUUUAGCAUUACUUCUUUCUGAUGCAACUGACUUCUUAAUAUAAUUAAAGCAUUUGUUAGCUUGGUACAGCAAGCAGUUCACAAAAUAAAACCAUCUUCAUUCGUAUAUUACCAAGCAUGAAGGUACUGGAAGGAAAAGUGCAUGGAAAGUGUCAUUGAAGAAUGAUGCGCAGCACACGGCUGGCAGAAACAAAGGAUCAGAAUUAAAGCACUGCUCUAAACUUCCAAUAUAUUUUAACAUUAUGAUCUUUCUUCUUCUUUUUCUAUAGUCUUUGCACUGUAAACAACAGCAAGAACAAAAAUAAGAAGCUUUUUGACAGGUUUGUAUCAGCUGUGAAAAUAUGUGAUGAUCAAGCCUGGAAAUGAAUGCUGUUAUAGUAUACGCACAUGGCAUCAUUCAGCAAAUAAAUCAUUUCAAGGGUCUAACUUUAAGUUAAGUUUAGGACACUUCUAAGUUACAACCUUUUAAGUCAUGGGCCCUUGAGCUUAAUUUUGGAUUUCAUUUGAAGCAUGGCAGGAAAGAAAAAAAAAAAAAGAGUAGGAGGGGGAGAAGAGUGCUGCCAGGGGAAAUGCAUUUGAACGUAGGAACUGUCCUUGUAUCCUACAUGUGGGAGUGAAAACGGUGUGAGAAAGGUAUCGAUAGUUAUAUGCCUAAUUUAUGUUACUGAACUUUCUUACAAAUAAGAAGGAUUCUUGAUGCACGGUUUUGAGGUUUGCUGUCUUCUGAUGCAGGAAAUGCAGAAAGAGCAUCACAGAAGAGAUCGAGCAGAUGAACCCUAUAUGGGCUUGAGUAGCUGAGCUGUUCACAGUAGUUGUACUGGGAACAAUAACCAACUGUGAGUAAAAAACAUACUUAAGGGUAUGUUAAAGUGAUGGUGUACUGUGAUUCCUAAUGCUUUGUAAAUAUAAGCCACAUAUGUCACUGUGAUAUUAAAGAGCAUGUUGGAAGUGUAGACUACCACACCAGUAGGUUAUUUGAUUGGCUUUGUCCCUGUUAUCUGCUUGACAGUUGUGGGCUUGAAAACUGUGACACUUGAGAGACUGUAUUUUGUUGAGGUGGGAAGAAAGUAAUGGCUCUUCAGCAAUGAGUUUUAAUUUGUCCUGACUGUGUAGAACAAUCUACUUAGAAAUUUAUAGCAACACAAAUUAGUUUCCUCCUCUUAAAAAGGAAAUAAGAAUCAGAACUUACUUUCUGAUGAAGUUGUGAUAAUGUUCUCAGACUUUUCUGAAAGCAAAAAACAAGACAGGGAAAUGAAACAGCAACUUGAUACUUUGCUCUGCAGUUGUAUACUCUGGACCACACACUGAGGUCUCGACAAACCUCUCCUUCAGCUUGGUGGUGGAAGAGGGAACAAAAUCCAGCAAAGGGCACAAUGUUUUGGGAGAGGAGGAAUGAAGUGUUGGUCUCCCACGGCUGAUGGAGCGGUUCUAUAUUUCAGACCUCUGGCAUUCAAAUAAAUAAAUCAAGAGAAGAAAUAUUUUGCAAAUGAUUGAUUACACCACUUAUUCAUGAUAUGAUAUUUGUGAAUGUACCAUUUGAUCCCAGUUACUCAGGGAUCGCUUCUGUUCAUCUCAGAUCCAAGGAAAACCUGUAUCACGUGAGUUGAGGAAAUACUGUGUCUGCUAUCACACUGCAACCGUAAAUUUUGACGUUGCUCCCUUUGCUACAACAUUUCCUGUCAAUAAACAAGGUAUUAAAGUCCAUUAACUUACCAAGAGAGGAACUAGCAACAGAACAAUUUCAUAACUCAGCUAGCUGGGGUCAAUAGGACACUAAGGUCACACAGACCACUUUCUAGCUGCAGAGCAAUGUUGAGGAGGGCAAAUGUGGCUCGACAUAAUCUAGACUUGGCAUCCCAACUGCCUAAAUUAAUAGGAAUGUCUGGCUUGCCCUUAAAUUCUUAAGAGCAUUUAAAGCUAUUGUGAUCUUUCCCGCUCUUGAACUUCUUGGGUACAAGGCUAUACUUUAUCUCUCUGUUGCAAGAUCAUUCUGAACAAGAGGCUUGAAUUAUUUCGUACUCUGCUGUUGUGUGGCGUUGCCAACUAUGAAUACGUGACAAUUUGUAUGCUGUCUAGUCCUUAUAACAUAUAACCAGUCUUUCUUUGCUCCAACUAAUAUUUUUAAAUAAUUAAAUAGUUCACUAAUGGCCAUUUGGUGUCAGCAGCUUUGCUUUUCUCUUCCAGAUCCUCCUUUUAUUUCUUUAUUUUAUUCUUUCUCCAGUACCGAGAAGCAGGAUAGAAGCAUGAAGAAUGUGGUAAGCAGAAGCACAACUGAUCUUGUGCUAUUCCUACGACAUCAGACAAACUUGUUGGGAAAAGCCAUCGUGCAGCAUGAGUGAACUUUCUUGUACAUGGUAUCCAUUUGUUUAAAAGGGCUCUUUUGUAACAAACGGGCCUCACCUUCAACAAUAACCUUUAUUUCGUUGCUCUUGCUUAAAAAGUUGCCCAUUGCUGCUUGACAGCGAUACAUCCCGCUAUCAUUCUGGUGAAUGGCAAAAAACUUCAGAGUAAACACAGUGGAAUUCCAUUCUGCUUUGCUGUCAUCCAGCAGCACGCAUCCAUGCGCCUCUAUCUUGCACCACUGGAUGAAGGGCCUUUCCUUGCAGUAACGGACUGGACAGUAUAUGAUCAAGGAGUUACCAAUAUUAGCUAUGUAUUCAGAGUUUCUUUGAACUUGAAUUUCUACUGGACAAUCACUGGCAUCAAAUCCUAGAAAAGGAGAAAAAUGUGAGAAAAAUCAUAGUGGUGGUGGAGUUAUAUACUCUCCAUGACACUAAUCAGUUUCUUUUCUCUCUCAGUAUGUGAGACUUCUCUUGUCCACUUUCAGAUUUUAUCUCUGUAUGGGACACUCAUAGCAGAUAAAUCAAGAGUACCUGGUUCCUUCAUUUUUAGGAAGAUUGUUAAAAUCCACUUUCUCCCUCUGAUAUAAAUUUCAGUCUAUAUCUCAGUGAAGUCUGAAACUGAAGUUUGGAGAGAAAAUAUGUAACACAUAC